GGGGAUAUAGCUCAGUGGUGGAGCCCUUGCCUAAUAUGUAUGAGGACCCAGGUUCAAUCCCUGUAUCACAA
Molecule: non-coding RNA, 71 nt
Organism: Cricetulus griseus (Chinese hamster)
Lineage: Eukaryota; Metazoa; Chordata; Mammalia; Rodentia; Cricetidae
Source: Rfam